This 447-nucleotide ribosomal RNA is filed under the name uncultured bacterium. RNAcentral describes it as "bacterial SSU rRNA". It matches the Rfam family "Bacterial small subunit ribosomal RNA", at positions 29 to 507 of the family's 1533-position model. The record is from RNAcentral.
AACGAACGCUGGCGGCAGGCCUAACACAUGCAAAUCGAGCGAAGCCUUCGGGUUUAGCGGCGGACGGGUGAGUAACGCGUGGGAAUAUGCCCUUUGGUACGGAACAGUCCCGGGAAACUGGGUUUAAUACCGUAUGUGGUCCUUCGUAGUGGAUACGGGGGACGAAAGAUUUAUCGCCAAAGGAUUGGCCCGCGUUGGAUUAGGUAGUUGGUGGGUAACGGCCUACCAAGCCGACGAUCCAUAGCUGGUUUGAGAGGAUGAUCAGCCACACUGGGACUGAGACACGGCCCAGACUCCUACGGGAGGCAGCAGUGGGGAAUCUUAGACAAUGGGGGCAACCCUGAUCUAGCCAUGCCGCGUGAGUGAUGAAGGCCUUAGGGUUGUAAAGCUCUUUCAGCUGGGAAGAUAAUGACGGUACCCGCAGAAGAAGCCCCGGCUAACUCCGUG